GGCUCGCCGAUAAGAAAAAAAUUAUCCCGUGUUGUGGCAUGGUAAGGCAGACUUCAAUCAGGAUCAUCAGGACAGGACCAGUCUAGGGGUGGGAUUCUAGAACAUAGAGAACGAACCAUGGCUGACCCCAGAAUGAGCAAGUGGACUUUACAGGAAGCAGAAGCAGGAGUUAGAACACAUAGGGUAAAAGAUUAUUUGAGAAUACAUGAGGAGGAAAUCAGGCUCCUCGUGUUGUUGGAUGGUGGAAGAUGGAUCAUAGGUCAAAGGUGACUGUUGGUCAGUGAGUGAUAGGUCAGUCCUGUCAGACUGAUUCCACAGGACUCUGGCCAAAUUCAAAAUUUAACAAGUACACAGAUGGGAGUAGGGAGAGGUUCUGAACAAGCAAAGCCUCUAAAGAAAAACACAGAAGACGGAGAUGCUCACUAAGUCAGGAGUACAGAGAAGCAUCAUCCAGUGCUAAAGUAAAGCACGGAAAUGACUGCUUAUAGAGAUGGUUCAGCAGCUAAGACCACACACUACUCUGACAGAUGACUAGAAUUUGGAAAGGCUGGAAAAAGACAAUUUCCUCUUACUGCUUUUAACAGGGUAUCUUCAUGAAGCCUACACUAGCCUCAAACUUUCCAUCCUCCUAUUUCAAUUUCCAGGGUACUGUAGAUUAUAGGCAAGCACUAUGGUAUCCACUGUGUUAUUUAAUCUCUGUCUGGACACUUAAGUGACCUCUGAUAAUACCUGAUCAAGAGACUAAUGAAAAUACUGAGUAGGAUCAUGCACGAGAAACUGCACUGAAAAACUAAGAACUAUUCUGCAAAAGCUGAAGAAUUCCAGACAAAUGCAAUGUAAGGGAGAAGUGGUUUAUCUGGAUUGACAUUGGGGAGCACAGUCCAUCACAACCCGACAGACAUGGCGGCAGGACCAUGAAAUAGCUGUUCACAUUACACUCACAAUCUCGAAGAGUUGAGACUUCUGUGCGGAAAGCAUCGGCCAGGAGAAGCAGCAAGCAAGCAUGAUUUCUUAUAAUGCCUUCUGCUUGUGAGGCAGCCUUAGACUGGAAACCACCAGCUUUGGGGAAAAAGGGUCAUUAAACCUCACGUGUAGCUGCUCCUUAAUUAGCUCUGUGACCUGACAAGCCAAUUUCUCCGGUUUUGUUCAGAUUUUCCAUAUCUGUAAUAUGAAAAUAUACUGCUACUUCCCUCCGGAGCAUUAUGUAUGAGCAUGGACUGAGGAAGAGCUAUGAAAGGCAGAAGUCAGCAGGCAGUCACCUUCCCUGUGGGCCUGAUUCCCAGAUGACUCCAUGCAAAUCUCUUCUAAGGGGCUUGGUGAUAAUUAGGAUGUUAACCCUCACCCAAGCAGUUCCGGGAGAUCUGUGCUUCUAAAGCAGAAUUAGGUGCCGUUUCUCCCAAAUACCAGGAUUGGGCAGGAUAACCAAGGUGUCCAGUGUGAACCCCUGGGGGCUCAGUGGGGGAAGCUAGCAACAGCCUCUCGGAGGCUUCCCCUCAGUCUUGUGAUCACUAUGUGCUACCCUAUGAAUUCAUACUGACCAGGGUUAAGUGACUUUCUUACUUUGGUCUCCCUGGGUAUGCGACUUCUGUUGUUCAUUCAGCCUGGGUCCUAAUGUCCUAGAAGUACCCCAGUAAGUGUUGAGACUAACCACAGUUUAAAAUCUAGGUACUGAACAGGACCUACCUGCUUGCUCGCUCUCUCUCUCUCUCUCUCUCUCUUUCUCUCCACUCCCCUCCCCAUGCCCUGAAUAAACUCAUUUCUAUACUAUACGUCUGU
This is a long non-coding RNA of Mus musculus (house mouse), 1776 nucleotides long. RefSeq annotates it as predicted gene, 40053. The record is from RefSeq and is a predicted model, not a curated record. The transcript is spliced from 3 exons. Lineage: Eukaryota; Metazoa; Chordata; Mammalia; Rodentia; Muridae.